Molecule: ribosomal RNA, 492 nt
Filed under: uncultured bacterium
Lineage: Bacteria
Description: bacterial SSU rRNA
Rfam family: Bacterial small subunit ribosomal RNA
Source: RNAcentral
AAAUGAAUAGACGGGGGCCCGCACAAGCGGUGGAGCAUGUGGUUUAAUUCGAUGAUACGCGAGGAACCUUACCAGGUCUUAAAUGGGAAUUGACAGUUUAGGAAACUAGACUUUCUUCGGACAAUUUUCAAGGUGCUGCAUGGUUGUCGUCAGCUCGUGCCGUGAGGUGUUAGGUUAAGUCCUUCAACGAGCGCAACCCCUAUCACUAGUUGCCAGCGAGUCAAGUCGGGGACUCUAGUGAGACUGCCGGUGUAAACUGUGAGGAAGGUGGGGAUGACGUCAAAUCAUCACGGCCCUUACGACCUGGGCCACACACGUGCUACAAUGGCCAGUACAGAGAGCAGCCACUACGUGAGUAGGAGCGAAUCUAUAAAACUGGUCUCAGUUCGGAUUGGAGUCUGCAACUCGACUCUAUGAAGCUGGAAUCGCUAGUAAUCGCAUAUCAGCCAUGAUGCGGUGAAUACGUUCCCGGGCCUUGUACACACCGCCCGU